RNAcentral lists this transfer RNA (69 nucleotides) under Alphaproteobacteria bacterium. Its description in RNAcentral is "tRNA-Phe". It matches the Rfam family "tRNA", at positions 9 to 71 of the family's 71-position model. From Rfam's summary of the family: Transfer RNA (tRNA) molecules are approximately 80 nucleotides in length. Their secondary structure includes four short double-helical elements and three loops (D, anti-codon, and T loops). Further hydrogen bonds mediate the characteristic L-shaped molecular structure. tRNAs have two regions of fundamental functional importance: the anti-codon, which is responsible for specific mRNA codon recognition, and the 3' end, to which the tRNAs corresponding amino acid is attached (by aminoacyl-tRNA synthetases). tRNAs cope with the degeneracy of the genetic code in two manners: having more than one tRNA (with a specific anti-codon) for a particular amino acid; and 'wobble' base-pairing, i.e. permitting non-standard base-pairing at the 3rd anti-codon position. Lineage: Bacteria; Pseudomonadati; Pseudomonadota; Alphaproteobacteria. The record is from RNAcentral.
GGUUCAAACGGGUAGAGCAGCGGACUGAAAAUCCGCGUGUCGGUGGUUCGAAUCCGCCCCUGGGCACCA